This 444-nucleotide non-coding RNA is filed under the name Monodelphis domestica (gray short-tailed opossum). RNAcentral describes it as "Eukaryotic small subunit ribosomal RNA". It matches the Rfam family "Eukaryotic small subunit ribosomal RNA", at positions 671 to 1115 of the family's 1831-position model. Lineage: Eukaryota; Metazoa; Chordata; Mammalia; Didelphimorphia; Didelphidae. The record is from Rfam by way of RNAcentral.
AGAUAAGAAAUCCUGUUAAGUUAAUAUAUGUAAAGGACAUAUUUGUAUCCAAGAUAGCCUUCAAGGCUGGUCUUUUCCUUCAUUCAGCCAACUAAUUAUGGCACUUAGAUGCCUUGGAACAGAUAAGGAACAAUAUGGAUUACUUGGAAUAAGACUCUAGUUCCAUUUGAUUGGUUUUCAGAUCUGAGGCCAUGAUUAAGAGGGAUGGCUAGGGACAUUAGUAGUAUGGUGCUAAAGGUGAAAUUCUUGGACUUGCAUGAGAUAGACAUGAGUGAAAACAUUUGCCAAAAUGUUUUCCUUAAUCAAGAAAGAAAGUAAGAGGUUUGAAGAAAAUCAGAUGUCAUCCUAGUUCUAGGCAUAAAUGGUGCCAAAUAGUGGUCUAGCAGCAUUAUUCUAUAAUCAAUUCACUAGGAAGUUUCUGGCAAAUCAAAGUCUUUGGGUUCU